Molecule: non-coding RNA, 1304 nt
Organism: Heterocephalus glaber (naked mole-rat)
Lineage: Eukaryota; Metazoa; Chordata; Mammalia; Rodentia; Bathyergidae
Source: RefSeq, a predicted model, not a curated record
CAGGCUGGCCUCAAUCUUGGGAUCCUCCUGCCUCAGCCUCCCAUGUAACUGUGAACCACCACACCAGGCUCCUUUUUAGCUUAUUUUAAUCAGUCUUUGUUUCUAGCUGAUUCAGGGGUGCUGUGUUGCAGUCUCAUGAUGAGCUGAGUAGGACGCUGUGCAUGGCUUGCUGCCCGCGGGUGCAUAAACACCAGGCUAUCUCGUUCCACGCUCUGCGGUGAUGACGGUGGGGCUCUGCUGAGAGGCAUCCUGAACCCCUGCCCUGGGCAGACUCCUGCUGUGUGACGCUGGCUCAGGUACUUGGCCUUGCUCGGCCUCCGACUGGGGACGUACCAGUCCCUUUCCCGGAGCCAUUGCAGUCCCAGGGUUAAUUUGCACGGCUCUUGGGGACUGUCCCACACAAGAUUACACUUGAAUAUCAAAGGAGAAAUGGAGAUGUGGGCACAGGACCCGAAGUUUGCACGCAGACGUUUUCUGCCCAGAUCCGGCCUGGUCCGCAGGGUGUGGUCACCCGACCGGAAGUCAUCCUGCGAACCCCAGGCCUCGGCCGCUCCUUCCGCUCCGCUCGCCCUCCCUCGCGCACUGGAAAAGUUCGGCUGGAAUUCAGUGGGGAUGCGGCACUGCUGUGCUCCUGUGGAGGGAAGCUGGCCUCUGUGCCCACGAUGGCAUUCAGAUUCGCUGUGAGCCUCAGCCUGCAGCAAAAAAAAAAUGACCACAUUGAUCACCUGGAUAAUCUCUUAAGAUUAGAAAUUCGAAUUCCCAAAAGGGUACUGGAUACUGUUCCUCAGUGUGUUUUAGUAGAAAAUUUAAUUUUAUUAAAAAAUGAGACUAGAAUAUAACGACUAAUACUUUGGCCACCUACUUUUACUGUAUGCUGAUUCUCCAACAACAGCUACUAAAGGGAGAGGGGCUGUUGCCAUCAUAUUUGACUGAGGUUGCUGCUACAUACCCCUUCCCCAUCAGCAUGUGGGUGAGAAGGGUCUAGGCCCCUUGCCAAGGCCCUGGUUAAUCUGGGGCAGAGCUGGCGGAACCCAGCCUGGAGUCCCAAGGCUGCACUCACAAGCUGCCUCUCAGUGCUGCACAUCGCAGAAUGUGGAGCUUAACCAGAAUGUGGGAAGUGUAGGUUGUUAAAGCCAUUUGGAGCAUGAUUUGGCUAUAGAGAGAAGCUAUGCAUUCCACAUACCCCUAGACUAUGAUUCUACUCCUGGGUUUAUACACCUUUCAUCUGUGUAUACAAGUCCAAGAGGGUUCAUCAUAGCAUCAUUUGUAAUGAAAAAUAAUCUGGAAAUAAACCUAAAACAGAA